GACGAACGCUGGCGGCGUGCUUAACACAUGCAAGUCGAACGGAAAGGCCCUGCUUUUGUGGGGUGCUCGAGUGGCGAACGGGUGAGUAACACGUGAGUAACCUGCCCUUGACUUUGGGAUAACCUCAGGAAACUGGGGCUAAUACCGGAUAGGAGCUCCUGCUGCAUGGUGGGGGUUGGAAAGUUUCGGCGGUUGGGGAUGGACUCGCGGCUUAUCAGCUUGUUGGUGGGGUAGUGGCUUACCAAGGCUUUGACGGGUAGCCGGCCUGAGAGGGUGACCGGCCACAUUGGGACUGAGGUACGGCCCAGUCUCCUACGGGAGGCAGCAGUGGGGAAUAUUGCACAAUGGGCGGAAGCCUGAUGCAGCAACGCCGCGUGCGGGAUGACGGCCUUCGGGUUGUAAACCGCUUUCGCCUGUGACGAAGCGUGAGUGACGGUAAUGGGUAAAGAAGCACCGGCUAACUACGUG
RNAcentral lists this ribosomal RNA (468 nucleotides) under uncultured bacterium. RNAcentral's name for it is "partial 16S ribosomal RNA". It matches the Rfam family "Bacterial small subunit ribosomal RNA", at positions 28 to 507 of the family's 1533-position model. The record is from RNAcentral.